GAGGGUAGAGCUCUGUGGUAGAGUGCAUGCCUAGUGUGCAGGACGUCCUCGGUUCAAUCCCCAGUACCUCCA
RNAcentral lists this transfer RNA (72 nucleotides) under Camelus bactrianus (Bactrian camel). It matches the Rfam family "tRNA". From Rfam's summary of the family: Transfer RNA (tRNA) molecules are approximately 80 nucleotides in length. Their secondary structure includes four short double-helical elements and three loops (D, anti-codon, and T loops). Further hydrogen bonds mediate the characteristic L-shaped molecular structure. tRNAs have two regions of fundamental functional importance: the anti-codon, which is responsible for specific mRNA codon recognition, and the 3' end, to which the tRNAs corresponding amino acid is attached (by aminoacyl-tRNA synthetases). tRNAs cope with the degeneracy of the genetic code in two manners: having more than one tRNA (with a specific anti-codon) for a particular amino acid; and 'wobble' base-pairing, i.e. permitting non-standard base-pairing at the 3rd anti-codon position. The record is from Rfam by way of RNAcentral. RNAcentral also lists the same sequence under 2 other names. Lineage: Eukaryota; Metazoa; Chordata; Mammalia; Artiodactyla; Camelidae.